This 367-nucleotide long non-coding RNA is filed under the name Gossypium raimondii (Peruvian cotton). RNAcentral describes it as "long non-coding RNA (GRAI_LNC000226)". Lineage: Eukaryota; Viridiplantae; Streptophyta; Magnoliopsida; Malvales; Malvaceae. The record is from RNAcentral.
GAAGAACGGCGUGCUGGAGGCUGCUGUUGCGGCGUUGGGUGCUGGGUGCUGCUUAGGGUUUCUUUUAGUCGUUGGGCCACAGAGCAAUUGGGCCACCAUUUUAGGAAUUUAGGUUGGGUCUGGGUUAAAUUUGAGUUUAAAUUUUAAGGGGCCUUAGUUGUAAUAAACUGGACAUUUAUUUGGUUUAUUUUAUUUAUUUGAUUUUUUUUUUCAUAUCUGGGUUUUAAUAGUUGGGCUCGGGCUGGGCAAAAUUUGGGUAUUAUAUUUCCAAAAUCAAAAUUUAAAAUAGAAUAAAAAGAUUAAAAUCAUUUUAAAAAUUUAUUUUGAUUGUUAAAUCAUUUUUUUUGAAAUACCAAUAUUAUAUUUA